AGUGAACGCUGGCGGUAGGCCUAACACAUGCAAGUCGAACGGCAGCACAGGAGAGCUUGCUCUCUGGGUGGCGAGUGGCGGACGGGUGAGGAAUACAUCGGAAUCUACUCUGUCGUGGGGGACAACGUAGGGAAACUUACGCUAAUACCGCAUACGACCUACGGGUGAAAGCAGGGGACCUUCGGGCCUUGCGCGAUUGAAUGAGCCGAUGUCGGAUUAGCUAGUUGGCGGGGUAAAGGCCCACCAAGGCGACGAUCCGUAGCUGGUCUGAGAGGAUGAUCAGCCACACUGGAACUGAGACACGGUCCAGACUCCUACGGGAGGCAGCAGUGGGGAAUAUUGGACAAUGGGCGCAAGCCUGAUCCAGCCAUACCGCGUGGGUGAAGAAGGCCUUCGGGUUGUAAAGCCCUUUUGUUGGGAAAGAAAUCCAGCUGGCUAAUACCCGGUUGGGACGACGGUACCCAAAGAAUAAGCACCGGCUAACUUCGUGCCAGCAGCCGCCGUAA
RNAcentral lists this ribosomal RNA (506 nucleotides) under uncultured bacterium. RNAcentral's name for it is "partial 16S ribosomal RNA". It matches the Rfam family "Bacterial small subunit ribosomal RNA", at positions 29 to 523 of the family's 1533-position model. The record is from RNAcentral.